RNAcentral lists this ribosomal RNA (468 nucleotides) under uncultured bacterium. RNAcentral's name for it is "partial 16S ribosomal RNA". It matches the Rfam family "Bacterial small subunit ribosomal RNA", at positions 28 to 507 of the family's 1533-position model. The record is from RNAcentral.
GACGAACGCUGGCGGCGUGCUUAACACAUGCAAGUCGAACGGAAGGGCCCUGCUUUUGUGGGGUGCUCGAGUGGCGAACGGGUGAGUAACACGUGAGUAACCUGCCCUUGACUUUGGGAUAACUUCAGGAAACUGGGGCUAAUACCGGAUAGGAGCUCCUGCUGCAUGGUGGGGGUUGGAAAGUUUCGGCGGUUGGGGAUGGACUCGCGGCUUAUCAGCUUGUUGGUGGGGUAGUGGCUUACCAAGGCUUUGACGGGUAGCCGGCCUGAGAGGGUGACCGGCCACAUUGGGACUGAGAUACGGCCCAGACUCCUACGGGAGGCAGCAGUGGGGAAUAUUGCACAAUGGGCGGAAGCCUGAUGCAGCAACGCCGCGUGCGGGAUGACGGCCUUCGGGUUGUAAACCGCUUUCGCAUGUGACGAAGCGUGAGUGACGGUAAUGGGUAAAGAAGCACCGGCUAACUACGUG